GCUGAUCUAUGAUGACAAUUCAUGGUGGACUGUUGGGUGAUACCUGUGGAUAUGGGACUGAGAUCAGUG
Small nucleolar RNA from Chiloscyllium plagiosum (whitespotted bambooshark), 69 nucleotides. RefSeq annotates it as small nucleolar RNA SNORD99. The record is from RefSeq and is a predicted model, not a curated record. Lineage: Eukaryota; Metazoa; Chordata; Chondrichthyes; Orectolobiformes; Hemiscylliidae.